Molecule: ribosomal RNA, 354 nt
Filed under: uncultured bacterium
Lineage: Bacteria
Description: partial 16S ribosomal RNA
Rfam family: Bacterial small subunit ribosomal RNA
Source: RNAcentral
CCUACGGGUGGCAGCAGUGGGGAAUAUUGGGCAAUGGAGGCAACUCUGACCCAGCAACGCCGCGUGAAUGAUGAAGGUCUUCGGAUUGUAAAGUUCUGUGAUGGGGGAUGAACACAAUGACGGUACCCCAAUAGCAAGCCACGGCUAACUACGUGCCAGCAGCCGCGGUAAUACGUAGGUGGCAAGCGUUAUCCGGGAUGACUGGGCGGAAAGGGUGCGUAGGGGGUUUAGUAAGUUGUCGGUGUAAUUCCGGGACUCAACCUCGGCGCUACCGCCAAAACUAUUGGACUAGAGUGCAGGAGGGGUAGGUGGAAUGCGUGGUGGAGCGGGGAAAUGCGUAGAUAUUAGGAGGAA